GAUGAACGCUGACAGAAUGCUUAACACAUGCAAGUCAACUUGGACUUCGGUUUGGGUGGCGGACGGGUGAGUAACGCGUAAAGAACUUGCCUCACAGAUAGGGACAACAUUUGGAAACGAAUGCUAAUACCUGAUAUUAUGAUUAUAUGGCAUCGUAUAAUUAUGAAAGCUAUAUGCGCUGUGAGAGAGCUUUGCGUCCCAUUAGCUAGUUGGAGGGGUAACGGCUCACCAAGGCGAUGAUGGGUAGCCGGCCUGAGAGGGUGAUCGGCCACAAGGGGACUGAGACACGGCCCUUACUCCUACGGGAGGCAGCAGUGGGGAAUAUUGGACAAUGGACCAAGAGUCUGAUCCAGCAAUUCUGUGUGCACGAUGAAGUUUUUCGGAAUGUAAAGUGCUUUCAGUUGGGAAGAAAAAAAUGACGGUACCAACAGAAGAAGUGACGGCUAAAUACGUG
This 454-nucleotide ribosomal RNA is filed under the name uncultured bacterium. Its description in RNAcentral is "partial 16S ribosomal RNA". It matches the Rfam family "Bacterial small subunit ribosomal RNA", at positions 28 to 507 of the family's 1533-position model. The record is from RNAcentral.